This 459-nucleotide ribosomal RNA is filed under the name uncultured bacterium. RNAcentral describes it as "partial 16S ribosomal RNA". It matches the Rfam family "Bacterial small subunit ribosomal RNA", at positions 338 to 795 of the family's 1533-position model. The record is from RNAcentral.
CCUACGGGAGGCAGCAGUGAGGAAUAUUGGUCAAUGGUCGGGAGACUGAACCAGCCAAGCCGCGUGAGGGAGGAAGGUACAGAGUAUCGUAAACCUCUUUUGUCAGGGAACAAAGGCGGGGACGUUUCCCCGGCUGAGGGUACCUGAAGAAAAAGCACCGGCUAACUCCGUGCCAGCAGCCGCGGUAAUACGGAGGAUGCGAGCGUUAUCCGGUUUUAUUGGGUUUAAAGGGUGCGCGGGGGGUCGGUUAAGUAAGCGGUAAAAGCCCGGGGUUCAACCCUGGCCCGCCGUUGAAACUGGCAGGCUGGAGUUGGAGAGAAGUAUGCGGAAUGCGUGGUGUAGCGGUGAAAUGCAUAGAUAUCGCGCAGAACUCCGAUUGCGAAGGCAGCAGGCCGGCUCGACACUGACGCUGAGGCACGAAAGCGUGGGUAUCGAACAGGAUUAGAUACCCGAGUAGUC